CAGUCGCCACGGUAAUACGGAGGGGGCUAGCGUUGUUCGGAAUUACUGGGCGUAAAGCGCACGUAGGCGGCUUGGUAAGUUAGAGGUGAAAGCCUGGAGCUCAACUCCAGAAUUGCCUUUAAGACUGCCGAGCUAGCAGGUGAGAGAGGUAAGUGGAAUUCCGAGUGUAGAGGUGAAAUUCGUAGAUAUUCGGAAGAACACCAGUGGCGAAGGCGGCUUACUGGCUCAUACUGGACGCUGAGGUGCGAAAGCGUGGGGAGCAAACAGGAUUAGAUACCCCAGUAGUCCCUGUCUCUUAUAU
Molecule: ribosomal RNA, 301 nt
Filed under: uncultured bacterium
Lineage: Bacteria
Description: partial 16S ribosomal RNA
Rfam family: Bacterial small subunit ribosomal RNA
Source: RNAcentral